UUUGCAUGUUCUUAAAACCUGGAGUUGAGGUCAUUCCCUGGUCAGUGAACUCUGGGUGUUGGAGAUGUGCUACACUAAAUUGGCAGGUAUUUUACUAACACCACUAGCAUCUGUGAUUUGAUGAGUGGGGUUUGAUAGUAGUUCCUGUUGCAAAA
Rhincodon typus (whale shark) is the source of this 155-nucleotide small nucleolar RNA. The record is from RefSeq and is a predicted model, not a curated record. Lineage: Eukaryota; Metazoa; Chordata; Chondrichthyes; Orectolobiformes; Rhincodontidae.